Molecule: ribosomal RNA, 253 nt
Filed under: uncultured bacterium
Lineage: Bacteria
Description: partial 16S ribosomal RNA
Rfam family: Bacterial small subunit ribosomal RNA
Source: RNAcentral
UACGUAGGGCGCAAGCGUUGUCCGGAAUUAUUGGGCGUAAAGAGCUCGUAGGUGGCUUGUCACGUCGGGUGUGAAAGCUUGGGGCUUAACUCCAGGUCUGCAUUCGAUACGGGCUGGCUAGAGGUAGGUAGGGGAGAACGGAAUUCCUGGUGUAGCGGUGAAAUGCGCAGAUAUCAGGAGGAACACCGGUGGCGAAGGCGGCGCUCUGGACCGAGACUGACGCUGAGGCGCGAAAGCGUGGGGAGCAAACAGG